Molecule: ribosomal RNA, 420 nt
Filed under: bacterium
Lineage: Bacteria
Description: partial 16S ribosomal RNA
Rfam family: Bacterial small subunit ribosomal RNA
Source: RNAcentral
UGGGGGAUAUUGCACAAUGGGCGAAAGCCUGAUGCAGCGACGCCGCGUGGGGGAUGAAGGCUUUCGGGUUGUAAACCUCUUUCGCUAUCGAACAAGGCCCGCUUAGGGUGGGUUGAGGGUAGGUGGAGAAGAAGCGCCGGCUAACUACGUGCCAGCAGCCGCGGUAAUACGUAGGGCGCGAGCGUUGUCCGGAAUUAUUGGGCGUAAAGGGCUUGUAGGCGGCUUGUUGCGCCUGCUGUGAAAACGCGGGGCUUAACUUCGCGCGUGCAGUGGGUACGGGCCGGCUUGAGUGUGGUAGGGGUGACUGGAAUUCCAGGUGUAGCGGUGGAAUGCGCAGAUAUCUGGCGGAACACCGAUGGCGAAGGCAGGUCACUGGGCCAUUACUGACGCUGAGGAGCGAAAGCAUGGGUAGCGAACAGG